GACGAACGCUGGCGGCGUGCCUAAUACAUGCAAGUAGAACGCACAGUUUAUACCGUAGCUUGCUACACCAUAAACUGUGAGUUGCGAACGGGUGAGUAACGCGUAGGUAACCUGCCUGGUAGCGGGGGAUAACUAUUGGAAACGAUAGCUAAUACCGCAUAAUAUUGAUUAUUGCAUGAUAAUUGAUUGAAAGAUGCUAUUGCAUCACUACCAGAUGGACCUGCGUUGUAUUAGCUAGUAGGUGAGGUAACGGCUCACCUAGGCGACGAUACAUAGCCGACCUGAGAGGGUGAUCGGCCACACUGGGACUGAGACACGGCCCAGACUCCUACGGGAGGCAGCAGUAGGGAAUCUUCGGCAAUGGACGAAAGUCUGACCGAGCAACGCCGCGUGAGUGAAGAAGGUUUUCGGAUCGUAAAGCUCUGCUGUAAGAGAAGAACGGGUGUGAGAGUGGAAAGUUCACACUGUGACGGUAUCUUACCAGAAAGGGACGGCUAACUACGUG
This 505-nucleotide ribosomal RNA is filed under the name uncultured bacterium. RNAcentral's name for it is "partial 16S ribosomal RNA". It matches the Rfam family "Bacterial small subunit ribosomal RNA", at positions 28 to 507 of the family's 1533-position model. The record is from RNAcentral.